GCAGGGUUGGCCGAGUGGUCAAGGCGGCUGACUUAAGCUCAUCUGUUCGAAAGAACGCGUGGGUUCGAACCCCACACCCUGCA
Molecule: non-coding RNA, 83 nt
Organism: Powellomyces hirtus
Lineage: Eukaryota; Fungi; Chytridiomycota; Chytridiomycetes; Spizellomycetales; Powellomycetaceae
Source: the annotation of a GenBank genome assembly